This 206-nucleotide long non-coding RNA is filed under the name Nicotiana benthamiana. RNAcentral's name for it is "long non-coding RNA (NBEN_LNC020023)". Lineage: Eukaryota; Viridiplantae; Streptophyta; Magnoliopsida; Solanales; Solanaceae. The record is from RNAcentral.
CCGAGCUUUGAUGAAUGAAUCUACAAGCUCAGCAAAAAAAAUUAUAGAAUUUUUAGGUAGAAGAGAGUACCAUGUGAUCAAUCUGUUAGUGAGUGUUUCGCCAAAUUUCUUAACUAAUAUAAAUUUAAUUUCCUGCUUAGUUAACUCGUUGCCUUUUACUCCUGUUGUAAAUGCAGUCACGUGGUCUCGUGGGUAUGAUGUUCCAU